GCGGUAGUUCAGCUGGUUAGAAUGCUGGCCUGUCACGCCGGAGGUCGCG
RNAcentral lists this transfer RNA (49 nucleotides) under Stenotrophomonas sp. Pemsol. RNAcentral describes it as "tRNA-Asp". The record is from RNAcentral. Lineage: Bacteria; Pseudomonadati; Pseudomonadota; Gammaproteobacteria; Lysobacterales; Lysobacteraceae.